GAACAAAUGUGUAAGUAACUAUGCACGUCUUUGACGGUACCUAAUCAGAAAGCCACGGCUAACUACGUGCCAGCAGCCGCGGUAAUACGUAGGUGGCAAGCGUUAUCCGGAAUUUAUUGGGCGUAAAGCGCGCGGGUAGGCGGUUUCUUAAGUCUGAUGUGAAAGCCCACGGCUCAACCCGUGGAGGGUCAUUUGGAAACUGGGAAACUUUGAGUGCAGAAGAGGAAAGUGGAAUUUCCAUGUGUAGCGGUGAAAUGCGCAGAGAUUAUGGAGGAACACCAGGUGGCGAAAGGCGGACUUUUCUGGUCUGUAACUGACGCUGAUGUGCGAAAGCGUGGGGAUCAAAACAGGAUUAGAUACCCUGGUAGUCCACGCCGUAAACGAUGAGUGCUAAGUGGUUAAGGGGUUUCCGCCCCUUAGUGCUGCAGCCUAACGCAUUAAGCACUUCCGCCUGGGGGAAUACGACCGC
Molecule: ribosomal RNA, 469 nt
Filed under: bacterium
Lineage: Bacteria
Description: bacterial SSU rRNA
Rfam family: Bacterial small subunit ribosomal RNA
Source: RNAcentral